This 253-nucleotide ribosomal RNA is filed under the name uncultured bacterium. RNAcentral describes it as "partial 16S ribosomal RNA". It matches the Rfam family "Bacterial small subunit ribosomal RNA", at positions 524 to 776 of the family's 1533-position model. The record is from RNAcentral.
UACGUAGGGGGCAAGCGUUGUCCGGAUUUAUUGGGCGUAAAGAGCGUGUAGGCGGCCAAGCAGGUCCGCUGUGAAAACUCGAGGCUCAACCUCGAGACGUCGGUGGAAACCGUUUGGCUAGAGUCCGGAAGAGGAGAGUGGAAUUCCCGGUGUAGCGGUGAAAUGCGUAGAUAUCUGGAGGAAUACCGGUGGCGAAGGCGGCAUCCUGGACCGACAUUGACGCUGAGGAGCGAAAGCUAGGGGAGCAAACAGG